GCGGAUGUGGCGGAAUUGGCAGACGCGCUAGAUUCAGGUUCUAGUGGCCGCAAGGUCGUGGAGGUUCAAGUCCUCUCAUCCGCA
Molecule: transfer RNA, 84 nt
Filed under: Gammaproteobacteria bacterium
Lineage: Bacteria; Pseudomonadati; Pseudomonadota; Gammaproteobacteria
Also listed under: 6 other names
Description: tRNA-Leu
Rfam family: tRNA
About the family: Transfer RNA (tRNA) molecules are approximately 80 nucleotides in length. Their secondary structure includes four short double-helical elements and three loops (D, anti-codon, and T loops).
Source: RNAcentral